UUUUCUGCAUAUUCCGUGAGUUUUGUCUUUGUUUUUUGUGGUCGAUUUCAAUGAUAUAGUUUGUUAGAGCAUUGGGGUUAUGGGGUUAGAGAGUGAAGCAUCUUCAAUCCAAAGCUCCUUCAAUGGCAGAAGAAGUAAACCAUAGCAGCAGUGACAUGAAAGGUCUUCCAAAAGUGCUGGUUCUAGGUCCUCCUUUUUGCUUCUCAUCACUUCAACCUCUCUACUCUCACAAAUUCCAUUUUCUCAAAUCUCACCUCUCAGAUCUCUCGCUUCAACACUUCCUUCAACUCCAUCACCCUCCCUCUAUUACCGCUAUUAUCUGCGACUCCGGCUACUCCGUAACCGCUGAAGUCCUCCGCCUCCUUCCAUCGCUCCGCCUCCUCGUCACCACCAGUGCCGGAACAAAUCACAUCGACCUCCGUGAGUGUGGCCGCCGCAGAAUCCAGGUCGCCGGUGCCGGAGGUAUGUUCUCGGAGGAUGUGGCAGAUAUGGCCGUGGCUCUGCUCAUUGACGGAAUGAGGAAAAUCUCAGCGGCAGAUCGGUGGUUAAGGACGCAGAAUCGCCACAAUGCGCCCUGGCAUUCAUUCCCAUUAGGGUCCAAGUUAUCAGGGAAGCAAGUUGGGAUUAUUGGAUUGGGAAGCAUUGGCAUGGAAGUGGCGAAAAGGCUCGAAUCUUUUGGUUGCAUAAUCUCAUACAACUCUAAGCAUAAAAAAGCUGCAGUGUCAUAUCCUUUCUAUUCCAGUGUUGUUGAGCUUGCAACUACUUGCGAAGUUCUUGUGCUCUGUUGUGAACUAAAUGAGCAAACAAAACACAUAAUUAACAGGGAAGUCAUUCUGGCGUUAGGAAAAGGAGGAUUUAUUGUAAAUGUUGGAAGAGGGGGUCUUAUUGAUGAAAAGGAAUUGGUAAAGUGUUUGAUGGAAGGUGAAAUUGGAGGUGCUGGUUUGGAUGUGUUUGAGAACGAGCCUCGUGUUCCUCAAGAGCUCUUUGAAAUGAAUAAUGUGGUUUUGUCUCCACAUGCUGCUGCUAUUACUGCGGAAUCAUUCAUGAAUAUGUGUGAACUUGCUGGAGGGAAUUUAGAAGCCUUUUUCUCAAAUAAGCCCCUAAUCACUCCAGUUAUGUUGACUGAAUAACUUGUUCUUUUGACAGCAAAAUAUCGAGCUGUAGAAUUGGAUUUCAUUCCUUCAAUGAUUCUUGAGUCGGAAAUGGCAUAGUUCUAUUUCCAAAACCAUCCCAGGGAAGUGCCUUUCAAACUGUCUUCAUAAAAGGAAGGAGAUGAACAAAACUAUAUUUGGAUCAUAGCACUAGUUCUAAAUCCAUCACCAAUUUGGAAGAAGUUGUUUAUAAACUCACCGUUAACCAAAAUGAAAUUAUUACUUUUUUGGACGCUAUUGUUUCUCAAUUUUCCAGACGCGACACACCCUCUCCUCAUUCUGAUGAUCAUCGUUCAUUUCACUACGAUGCUCCUCAGUUCACACUACACCUACACCACACCUCCAUUUGGAUGUUCCUCGGUUUGAUGGAACAAAGCCCAUGGGUUUGAUCUUUAAGAUAUCCCAGUUUUGAGUACCAUCCCACACCGAAAGUGGAUCGACUUCGGAUCGCGUCUUUUUACAUGGAUGGCUCAGCUCUUAGUUGGUUCUAAUGGUUGCAUCAAAACAACAUGAUUCCUUUGUGGCAAGAGUUUCUCCAAGCUGUAGAGGUUCUUUUGCUCCUUCUUAUUAUGAAGAUCUUCGUGGUUCUCUCUUUAAGUUGACAUAGAAGGGUUCCGUACAAGAUUAUUUGAAUGAGCUUGAACGACUUACUAACCGCAUUGUUGGUCUCCCUACAACUUUCUUGUUGAGUAACUUUAUUUCUAGCUUAAACCUAGAUAUCUGCUGCAAGAGGUUCAAGCAUUGCAACCACAGACUUCAACACAGGCUACGACAUUAACUAAAUUGCAAGAGGAUAAACUCAUUCAUCAAAUUCGCAUGUUUGAAGCUGAUAUUCCUAAAACUGUUUUUCGUACACAUCAUGGCAUUAUAAGUAUACAAUCAUGUCGUUUGGGCUUUGUAACUGUUAACAGAAUGAAUGACAAAAGAUAUGCAAUUGUAUAUUUAUUUGUAACUGUUAUUCUCUUAAUUAGCAUAAUUAGUUGUAGUAAAUGUAUAUAUGGCAGUUUAGCUUAUUUAGUGGGUUGAAAAUCAGCUUGACAAAUUGUAAUCAUUUGCAUUUAUAUGAAAGUUCUCCAACAAGGGGAGACAUAGUUUUCUAGCUAUAUCUUCUCUAAGUUUAACAUGGUAUCAAUCUAGGUUAUGAUCCCAAAACCUAGUUUGUGUUUUUCAGCCUCGUCCUAGAUUCACGAUCCUGCUUCACGAUUCUUGUUUUAUUUUCUCGUUUCCUUUUUUCCUAGCUUUGUGGAUUUUGAAAAAUAUGAUGUCUUAUUCGUUCGCCUUAAUG
Vigna radiata var. radiata (mung bean) is the source of this 2436-nucleotide RNA transcript. It is a transcript of the gene named glyoxylate/hydroxypyruvate reductase HPR3-like, with no coding region annotated. NCBI's taxonomy places the organism in Eukaryota, Viridiplantae, Streptophyta, Magnoliopsida, Fabales, Fabaceae. The record is from RefSeq and is a predicted model, not a curated record. The transcript has 3 exons.